RNAcentral lists this ribosomal RNA (465 nucleotides) under Planococcus sp. VB56. Its description in RNAcentral is "bacterial SSU rRNA". It matches the Rfam family "Bacterial small subunit ribosomal RNA", at positions 37 to 491 of the family's 1533-position model. Lineage: Bacteria; Bacillati; Bacillota; Bacilli; Caryophanales; Caryophanaceae. The record is from RNAcentral.
UGGCGGCGUGCCUAAUACAUGCAAGUCGAGCGGAACCAUUGGAGCUUGCUCCAUUGUUUAGCGGCGGACGGGUGAGUAACACGUGGGCAACCUGCCCUGCAGAUCGGGAUAACUCCGGGAAACCGGUGCUAAUACCGAAUAGUUUGCCGCCUCUCCUGAGGCGGCACGGAAAGACGGUUUCGGCUGUCACUGCAGGAUGGGCCCGCGGCGCAUAGCUAGUUGGUGGGGUAAUGGCCUACCAAGGCGACGAUGCGUAGCCGACCUGAGAGGGUGAUCGGCCACACUGGGACUGAGACACGGCCCAGACUCCUACGGGAGGCAGCAGUAGGGAAUCUUCCGCAAUGGACGCAAGUCUGACGGAGCAACGCCGCGUGAGUGACGAAGGUUUUCGGAUCGUAAAACUCUGUUGUGAGGGAAGAACACGUGCCAACUAACUACUGCACCUUGACGGACCUCACCAGAAGC